GGUAGCGUGGCCGAGUGGUCUAAGGCGCUGGUUUUAGGCACCAGUCUCUUUGGAGGGGUGGGUUCAAAUCCCACCGCUGCCA
RNAcentral lists this transfer RNA (82 nucleotides) under Stegodyphus dumicola. Its description in RNAcentral is "tRNA-Leu". It matches the Rfam family "tRNA". From Rfam's summary of the family: Transfer RNA (tRNA) molecules are approximately 80 nucleotides in length. Their secondary structure includes four short double-helical elements and three loops (D, anti-codon, and T loops). Further hydrogen bonds mediate the characteristic L-shaped molecular structure. tRNAs have two regions of fundamental functional importance: the anti-codon, which is responsible for specific mRNA codon recognition, and the 3' end, to which the tRNAs corresponding amino acid is attached (by aminoacyl-tRNA synthetases). tRNAs cope with the degeneracy of the genetic code in two manners: having more than one tRNA (with a specific anti-codon) for a particular amino acid; and 'wobble' base-pairing, i.e. permitting non-standard base-pairing at the 3rd anti-codon position. Lineage: Eukaryota; Metazoa; Arthropoda; Arachnida; Araneae; Eresidae. The record is from RNAcentral.